GGCUUGAUUUCUUGAGAGAGCCUCCAGGGACAACGAGGCGGUCGCCAUUUGUGGAAGAACUUGAACCGGGCUGACUGAGGGUUUGAGGCCUUUUGCCUCUUGCUUCUUACUUCUUAUCCCGAGGAAAGCGAAGUUUUGCCAGCCACCGUCUUGACCGUCUUGAGGGCUAUAGCGACGAGAUCACCACGCACAAGGCGCCAACUCAUUUUUUUCCCCCGGAUGCCAAUAAUUUGCCUUGAAGGCCACUCCAUCGGGUAGCGAGUCCACUGUGGCCGUCUUAUGAUUACCCCCACUAAUAAUGAUAAUAACGAUACCCACCACGACCACUUACCACUUAACUUGUUAAGAGCUCUACAUUUGAAUUGAUUUUGUGGCAAGGCUAAUGAAUGCCUUCGCUAUGGCAACAUAACUUUCCUUUUGAAAAGGAAGAAUGCUUCUUCAAAAGAAUUAGUAGAAGUGGAUGAUGAAGACGAAGAAGAACCCUCUUGGUGCCUUUUAAGGAACCACCAGACCCAAUAGCGGCAGUAACAGCACCAACAACAACCACCAACACUAACACCGCUAAAGCAGUACCCAAGAUGAAGACGAUGUCUACCAAGGGGACGGCGAAGAGGAUUCCCUAAAAGGAUUUUUGUAAAACAAUAGCCCUCUUGUCAAUGGGCCCUAAUUGAGCUUUUUUACCUUUUUGAAAGAUUUAAUGAAAAUUUAAACACUUU
This is a long non-coding RNA of Tigriopus californicus, 716 nucleotides long. RefSeq lists it as uncharacterized. The record is from RefSeq and is a predicted model, not a curated record. The transcript has 2 exons. NCBI's taxonomy places the organism in Eukaryota, Metazoa, Arthropoda, Copepoda, Harpacticoida, Harpacticidae.